This is a non-coding RNA of Cicer arietinum (chickpea), 73 nucleotides long. The record is from Rfam. NCBI's taxonomy places the organism in Eukaryota, Viridiplantae, Streptophyta, Magnoliopsida, Fabales, Fabaceae.
GGGUCCAUAACUCAGUGGUAGAGCAUUUGACUGCAGAUCAAGAGGUCGUUGGUUCGAUCUAAGGCCUAACUCA